This 468-nucleotide ribosomal RNA is filed under the name uncultured bacterium. RNAcentral describes it as "partial 16S ribosomal RNA". It matches the Rfam family "Bacterial small subunit ribosomal RNA", at positions 28 to 507 of the family's 1533-position model. The record is from RNAcentral.
GACGAACGCUGGCGGCGUGCUUAACACAUGCAAGUCGAACGGAAAGGCCCUGCUUUUGUGGGGUGCUCGAGUGGCGAACGGGUGAGUAACACGUGAGUAACCUGCCCUUGACUUUGGAAUAACUUCAGGAAACUGGGGCUAAUACCGGAUAGGAGCUCCUGCUGCAUGGUGGGGGUUGGAAAGUUUCGGCGGUUGGGGAUGGACUCGCGGCUUAUCAGCUUGUUGGUGGGGUAGUGGCUUACCAAGGCUUUGACGGGUAGCCGGCCUGAGAGGGUGACCGGCCACAUUGGGACUGAGAUACGGACCAGACUCCUACGGGAGGCAGCAGUGGGGAAUAUUGCACAAUGGGCGGAAGCCUGAUGCAGCAACGCCGCGUGCGGGAUGACGGCCUUCGGGUUGUAAACCGCUUUCGCCUGUGACGAAGCGUGAGUGACGGUAAUGGGUAAAGAAGCACCGGCUAACUACGUG